GCUGGUAUGGCUGGUAUAGCCGCGAACCCUGCUCUGGUAUCGGCUCUACAACAAUCCUUUGCUUAUCAGACACAAGCACUUACGGGCCCAGUUGUGGAACAAAGAGAUGAGGAUGAGUGUUUGACCUGUAAUCUGAUCCAGAUGGGGUCUAGUAUGGCAUAUGGAGACAAUAGUUGUCCUCAAUGCGGGAGAAGAUGUUAUUGAACCACUCUAGUCUAGAGGCAUCAGGGUUGAUGGAGACUUGGCACAUUCUCACCUGUAGACGAGGGGGCGCAUGGCACAAAGUCUCCUAGAUGAGGGGGAUACAACCCCCCCUUUAAACUGAUUAAACCCUUUAAAGUUACAUUACAGAGAAUGUUGACUGCGAAGUGAUAAAAAGUUUUUAAACAUUAGUUAAACCCCUACCAAGUGUUUUAUAUAAGAUUUACACAGACUGGACUACUAAGUUUGGUUAGAGUUACGCAAUUUUUAUUCAUAAAAACUGUUUUGCGUUCACAUCUUAUCAUAACGACCGUCGACCGUUCUCUAGGAAAUUACCGAAAUCAUUAAAUCACUUUGAUUUUGGAAGAAACCAAAUUUUAGCAAGAAAAUAAAUAUUUUUCAUUCGCCAUUGAUCAGACUUAGGGUCAAAUGGUAACGUCUAGAAGCGGACAUGCCAUUUUAAAAAUUAAAAGUUUCUCGAAAUUAUUUUAAAAAUUAUUUAUGAAUGAGAACACUUUAAGUUGCAUAAAAUGGAAACACAACUGCAUGAACUUGUAUCCAAUCUGUUUAAUCUGUGGACAAUAUAUACCAUGAACCACUAUUUGUGUGUUUACAUUUAAAGUGUACUGCAUUUUUGGGGAGAAGUGUAAACAAAGAAAGUAGUGAACACUUUUGAAUGAAAAAAAAACUUUAGUCGGUUUUAACCAGAAUGAAUAUUUAUUUUUGUUUUAAAGAUUUAUACCUUUCAAUAUAAGCUGCAUUGGCAAUUAUAAAAAUUUCCUUAGACAAAAAAUGGUAAAGUUUUAAAACCCUUGCUCUACCUAAAUAAAUAUUAGAUAAAAAUGUAUCGGCAAUAAUCAAUUUUUUAUUGAUAACCAAAAGGGUCAUUUCAAGUUGUAACCCUUUAAACCUUUAUCUGCAAUAUAACCCGCAAGUCACUUUGUUAGAGAACCGGCUGCAAUUGAAAAUGAUGAAUUUUCAAAUAUUAAAACAUGAAUAUUUCAUUCAUUGAUCUGACUAAGGUUUAAAGGGUACCGUAUUUUUGUGGGUAAUCCACCUCCUCCUAAAAAAAAUAUUAUCUGAAAAACGACCCUAAUAAUGCAAACUUUAAAAAAUGGAGAAAUAUAUAUUUGUAUUUGUAAAUAUAUAUAUUAUAUCUAUAUGUUUUGUGUUUUAUAAUAUUGUUGAAAAACUUGAAUUAGAUUUCUAACUUUAGACACUUUUUAAUGUUUUGUAGCUUAACUUUUAUCCCUUUAUAACGUACUGUAUUUCAACGUUUUAUAUGUACAAUCUAAAUAAUUCUCAUGUAAAGAGCUUGAAAUUUAAGAAAGUAUUAAAGUACAACUUAAGAUUCUAUAAUUUGCCAUCUACCAUUUAAUAUUGGUUAACCCUAAAACGUCUUGGAGGGGGGAGGGGGGCGUUUGGUUCCCAACUUUUCUAGUGUUGUUCCUCAUUUUUGAAACGAUAAAAUUAAAAUUUCCCAACUUAAACAGUGAUUACCAGAAAACUGUAGAAUAGAAAGACGACAUUAGAGCAAU
Molecule: long non-coding RNA, 1739 nt
Filed under: Eurytemora carolleeae
Lineage: Eukaryota; Metazoa; Arthropoda; Copepoda; Calanoida; Temoridae
Description: uncharacterized LOC111697634
Source: RNAcentral